This is a long non-coding RNA of Hevea brasiliensis (rubber tree), 5242 nucleotides long. RefSeq lists it as uncharacterized. NCBI's taxonomy places the organism in Eukaryota, Viridiplantae, Streptophyta, Magnoliopsida, Malpighiales, Euphorbiaceae. The transcript has 9 exons. The record is from RefSeq and is a predicted model, not a curated record.
GGCAUAAUGCAACUUAAAAGUAGUGAAAGUGAAUGGUUGUCUGUCCUAGAAAAUGAUGUAUGGAAGUUAUUUGAUAGUGAUAAUGAUAUUGGUCCUGUGUUGAAGUUGAGUUAUGAUCACUUACCAAAUUAUUUAAGGCACUGUUUUGUACAUUGUGCAAUGUUCCCUAAAGAUUAUGAGUUUGAUAAGGAGAAGUUAAUUCAAUUAUGGAUGGCACAAGGUUAUGUUCAAUGCUGGAGUCAAAGUGGAAAUGAAAAUUUAGAGGAUGUUGCUGAUGGAUACUUCAAUGAAUUAUUAUUUAGGUCAUUUUUUCAAAAGGAUGAGUAUCAUUUGGAUAGGGAUUAUUAUAAAAAGCAUGACCUUAUCCAUGACCUUGCAAAGUCAAUAGCAGGGGAUAAUUGGCUUUCUUCUAUGACAACUCUUGUCAAAUUUGAUAUAAAUUGGUGUUGAAAAUGCAAGCAUCUGCCACCUUUGGACCAUCUCCAUUGUUUGAAAUAUCUCAGUCUUGUUGAGUUUGAUUCUCUGGAGUAUAUCUCAGAUAAAGAUGAUUCUUCCUCUUUUUCAUCUGCAUCAACAACAUUCUUCCCGUCCCUAAAGAUUCUUGAACUCUGGAGCUGUCCUAAUCUGAAGGGAUGGUGGAGAAUGUGGAUGGAUGCUGAGCUAGUGCCUCAGUUUCCUUGUCUUUCUCAGUUAGUCAUUGAUAAUUGCCCUUACCUGACUUUGAUGCCAACAUUUCCAUCUCUGGACAAGAAGCUAUGGCCUUCCAAUGCCAACAUAAGACCAUUGCAUCAGACAUUGAAGGUGAAGAUGAUGACGCGAACAGCUUCCACAUUGCCAUAAAUGUCUUAUUCUCCUUCUUCAGUUACUGCUCCACUUUCCAAAUUAAAGUCAUUAACCUUAGAAUCCAUGGAGAAUCUAGCAUCUCUACCUAGAGAUUGGAUGCGGAACCUCACCUCCCUUCAGAAACUAAGUAUCGACUUUCUUGCCAAUUAGCAAAGUCACCAGAUCUACAACUGCCCCAAUUUGGCAUCCCUGCCAAAAGGAAUAUGUCAAAUCACUACUUUACAAGAGUUGAGGAUUAAUGGUUGCCUUCAUUUGUCUGAAAGGUGCAGACAAGAUGUGGCUACAGAUUGGCCCCACGUUUCUCACAUCUCAAAUAUCAGGACUAAUGGGCAUUAUAUUAAAUAUCAGGGCUGCUACUUAUUGGAAGAGGAACGAUCCUCUGCUUCUGUGGGAAUAGAAGCAAGUGAUGUUUGUCCUGUGAUAGCUAUCUACAAGUUGUAAUUGACUUAAUAGGAUCUAUUCAUUCACUAUCUUUCAGGAAUGAAGCAAUUUUGAAUUGAAGCUUGUCUUCAACAUAUUUCUAUUACCAACUAUUACCAAGUAACAAAGCUAAGGUUAAAUUCACAUGAAAAAGAUCAUCAGCUGCAUCUACAAGAUAUAUUUCUCUCCAUCUGGGCUGGAAGGAUGUUGACAACUGGAAUUAACUCUUAGGGUAGACAUGUAGAAUCAAUUUUGCAUUUUGAAGCAAUGGGAAUCUGCAUUUUGAAUCAACUCUUGGAAUAGGCAUUGUCACAUCUCUUUCCCUUCAAGAAGCUAGUGACAUCAGAUUGCAUUGGUUAUCAAUGGGUGAUGAUGGUGCACAACUGACCAUGAUGUCACGUUCCCUUAGCCAUCAUCUUUCCAAUAUUCCGAAGGUAUCAAAUUUUAAGUCUUGCAAGGACUUUAUCAUGCAUCAUAAUUCUACUGCCACAGAUAUCUGAUAAGGAAAAUUUAAUGUGCUUCAAAUUACUGUAUAUUUUGCAUUAGCCAGAAUACUUUAUAUAUUUUCUGGUCAGAGUUGCAUAUUGAGAGCAAGAAGAUGGCUUGGUAUCAAUAUCAUCUCAUCAAAGUAGGACGGAUUUAUUUUACCUAAUUAUGUGAUAAUGAAUUGAUAACUGUGUUGAUCAUAUUGUUCAGUGGGCCUUCAAAUAUAAAAUAUUAUGUCACAUUCUUUAAGGAGAAAGAAGCUAGGCAAGAACAUCAGCGAUAGAGCAAGCAGAAAGGGGAAAAUUUUAUAGGGAGAUGGCAAAAAUGAACGCCGAGCUGAAAAGAUGGAUGAGUAGGGUGUUAUAUUUCUUCCUUUUUCAGAUUAUACUCAGUGCAGAUAAGGGGUUCAGAAUUGCUAUUGGUUGUGGAGACAACAGAAUAUUUUAACAACAUGAAUAGCUUUGGCAACCCAUUCCCCUAGUUUCUUGUCAUCUUUACUUUUAAAUUGACAAAAUUUGGCAUAUCACGCUUCUAUAUUAAUUUUUGAUAAUAUUCAUUUCCAAUUAUAGAACAUUUCAGGGUCCAUGUGUUGAUGCAAACUAUGGAAAAAAGUGCAUCUAGCAAUCUCUAUUAGCAUCCACUUUUGUGUAGGCACAGAGCAAGUGUGCAAUUUACAUCAAAUGUAAGUACCAUAUGUUUUUAAUUAUCUUGCCAACUUAUUUUUGUCAAAAUUCUUGGGUUUGGAAUUGUUUCAUCAUGUAAUAAUAUUCAUCAUGUUAUAAAGGGAGCUUAACCUUAACAGAGCGCAUCUUCUUAUGUGUCCUGUGCUAUUCCACUUCUAACAAAUUACUGAUGAGAAGGCAGUGAGUUGAUUAUAAAAGUCUGAUGGGUACCUUCCACUUCAUCUUCUUAUAUGUCUAAGAUUAUGCUUGUGUAGGCUGUAUGGGCUUUCACAAGCUAUUAGAAAACCUUAUAGCAGAUAGUCUCUAAUUUUAUUUUACCUGUGCAUCUAAGUGUAGAACAAAUUUUCAUUCUCUCGGUGCAGCAAUUUGGUGAAAUUCCCACAUCGUUGCUUAAAAGAGAAGCAGUGAAAUGCAUCUCUGAGUCAUUGAACAACGAAUACACACAGCUAAUGUGAGAGAAGAUCUGUCACUUGUCAAAGGUAGUUUGAAGUCCAACAACUAGCGACUGACAAUAGUCAAAGUAAAUAAAAAUCACGAGUCUGAUAUAUGUUUUCUUUGUUUCUUCCUUCCAAAUUUCCAUUGUUCUGGUCCUCUUUUACAAGUACUGAGAGGUUCAUUUUUGCUGUUGUGGAUGGAUAUGGAGGCAACUGAACAUUGUUCAUGGAAUGGAGAAUUUUGGUAAUACAUUCUCUUUUUUCUUAGGAUCUGAAACCUUAUAAUAUUUAAAGGCCAAAACAAAUCAAGAAAAUUUGUCCACCAUUGUUCACCUUUUUUUUAAAAAAAAAAAAAGAAAAAAAAUAAAUAUAAUGUCAGAGCCAAAGUAAAAUCCACUGCCUACCUUGUCCUGUCUUCACUUUCAUCUUUAAAAGUUAACAACUUUUAUUCUGAUAAUAUAUUCAGAUGUCGCAGGAUAAUUUCACUAAUCUUUGACUAUCCAUUGGAUAAUGGAAAAUAUUGCUAGCUUAACUCUGAAAUCAUCCAGUGCCUUCAGUUGAUAUCACCAGGAUGCAUUUAUUUUAUGUAAUAAACUGGUGCCGUUGUGCAGAAGGAAACUUUUGCUACUUUCGGAUUUUAGGAAGGAAUGAAGCAAUUUGAACUUGAAGCUUCCUAAUAAGGGCGACAAAUCUUCAAAAUAUUUCGCUUUUCCAGUAUUACAAAGGUUUGAAAUCUGGUGUUGGUUUCUAAACUGGUGGUUUAAUCUCUUUGAUUCGUGAUAAAUCCCUGGCAAAGUCCUUGGUUAAUCUCUUUUAUGCCAUAAUGUGGUGCACAAAAGAGAAGGAUCUGGAGUCUCUAAAAAUGGAGCUUCAAUACUUUACCAAAUUGCAGUGUCUCCAGAUAGGAAAUUGUUGUAAUUUGACUGUUUUGCCAGCCUGGAUGGGCAACCUCAAAGGAAUGCGUCAAAUCACCACUUUGGCAGAACAUUUCUCACAUCCCAAAUAUAUGGAUUGAUGAGUGGACAAUUCAAAAGGGCUGCCGCUACUUCUCUUUAUAUAACGUGCAACUGUAGAGGAAUGAUUCUACUAAGCUCUGACAAUCCACUGGAUGAUAGAACAAAUUACUAGCUCCAUUCUUGGAAUUAUAUGUUGCUAGUGCACACAACAAACCUUUUUCUACUUUUGGAUUUUGGAAAGGUAUAGCAAAACUUCCUUUUUUUCACCUUAAUGUUCAUAGGCAGAUAUCAAAACUUCAAAAUGAAAUAUUAUGCUCAGUUUAAGAACUUUAAUCUCUUACCAGUUUCAGCCUCCCGCUGCAUUUGAACAUCUAGAGAAUAUUGUACAUAUAUAUAUAUAUAUAUAUAGUUAAAGAUGGUUGGUACUUUUAAACUGCAAUUCUAGUGAAGGAUCUUUUUGAAGUUUUCCAAUUCGUUUCAUGUAUAAUUCUACUUUGUGUGGAGUUAUUUCAAUUGUUUCACACUAAUUAAGUAAUUUAGAAUGGCUCAUAUCAGUUUGAUUAAUGAUACAACUCCAAAUGUUAUGAUUCUUCAAGUUCUGACCGUCUGCGGGGAAUAGAAGCACAUGAAGCUUGUCCAGUGCCAGUUGAUAUAUAGAAGUUGUAAUUGCCUUCAAUAGGCCUACUCAUCCGCUACAUAUUUGCAAUGGAUUAGCCGUCACGGGCAAUUUAUGAUCUGAUAUUUUGGUUUUUCUUUUUAACUUUGUACAGGAUUCAAGUGAUUUUGUCUUGAAGCUUAUCUUCAACAUAUCUCCUUUUUCAAGUAUUGCAAGGUAUCAAAGCUAAGGUUAAUUCCGGUGUAAAGGAUCAUCAGCAACUUCUGCAAGAUGUAGUUCUCUCCAUCUGGUUGGAAUGGAAUAGACAUUUAAAACCAAUUUUGCAUUUUCAGAGGCAAUCAAAAUCUGCAUUUUGAAUUAACUCUUGGAAAUAGGUAAUCCGUGUCUAAAUUUUGUCAAUGGCUCUUCAACUUACAUUGCCACAUCUCUACCCUUUUGAGAAGCUAGCUAGUGACUUAAAAGUGCAUUGGUUCUCAAUUAAUGAUGAUGGUGCACAACUGACCAUGAUGUCAUCUUCCCCUGGCAAUCAUGCUGCAAUUCAGCCACUUAGGAUCAUGUAAUGUAUUGUCACCUCCAGCACUUCUGUAGUUGCAUCAUUCAGAUAUAUUUAUUUUCUUUGGGCAGUUUGCUCUGAAUUAUAUAUUAAUCUAUCCAGACUGAUUUUUCUGAAAUUAAUGCAAUGUAUCCAUGUGCUAAUCCUUGUAGGCAUUACAAUAUCCAAAUCAAUUGAAGUUCUUAUAGAACAUUUUAGUUGGUAGAGAAUUAAAUAAUUGGAAGAUAUAGGAACAUGUUGACUUGUUUUUA